RNAcentral lists this ribosomal RNA (240 nucleotides) under uncultured bacterium. Its description in RNAcentral is "partial 16S ribosomal RNA". It matches the Rfam family "Bacterial small subunit ribosomal RNA", at positions 91 to 334 of the family's 1533-position model. The record is from RNAcentral.
ACGAGUGGCGGACGGGUGGGUAAUGUCUGGGAAACUGCCCGAUGGAGGGGGAUAACUACUGGAAACGGUAGCUAAUACCGCAUAACGUCGCAAGACCAAAGAGGGGGACCUUAGGGCCUCUUGCCAUCGGAUGUGCCCAGAUGGGAUUAGCUAGUAGGUGGGGUAAAGGCUCACCUAGGCGACGAUCCCUAGCUGGUCUGAGAGGAUGACCAGCCACACUGGAACUGAGACACGGUCCAG